UCUAUUCUGCGCUUGUACUUCUGCCGACCUCCACGUACUCUGUCAAGACGCACUCCUGUGGGGAAAGACAGGCACUUCCUUACUGUUGAGAAUCUCCAAUGAAAGCUACCUCUUUGUGACAAAUCUAUUACAAAUGGGUGUUUGUAAUGUGUAGAACAUCAGAUGUUCAAACAAGCUGUGCUUUUUCAUCUAUUACAUGUACUUGAUAGCACCAUCUACUCUGCUACCUAGAAGUUUCAGGGAACCUUUGAUGGCGUCUACCUGGGAGACUGCGCUUCGUCCUUGACACAGCUUCUGCUGCAGAGUCCUGACCUCCAGGUUCCAAAAUGAUCCUAAAGAUGCUGCCGUCUCCCAAACCAGAAUUCCAGUUGUUGGCAGGAUUCACCAUUGAGUUUAGAAAACUACAGGCUUACAGAUCCCCAUCAACCAACUUUAUCCUUGCCUAAUUUACCCAUCUCUGUAGUUUUAAUGCCUGUCAUCACUCUAUUGUUACCCAGAUGAGGAAAGGGAGAAUAUGAGCCUCAAGACCUACAGACCUUGUCUAUUAAAGCCAGGGUCUCAAGCCAGUCUGAACACAUAAGAAGAGCCAUGGAUUUACUUUCUACAGCCAGGAAAAGGCAUUUCACCCCCGAAAAGGGAUCCAGCGUCUAUGGCCAGCAGCUCUACUGUGUCAGGAGUUACUAGAGGGUCGCUGCAGUGGAUGAUCACAGAAGAAAGUCUACAGUAAGUCCCCUACACACGAACCUUCAAGUUGCGAACUUUCAAAGAUGUGAACGUGCAUUCGCAUGUCUAAUCACGUAUGGCGUGAGUGAAACUGCAGCUUGCCCUCUGUCUCCUAUCGUUGACGAUCCUUCAGCUCUACCAUCUCCCACCUUCUCUCCCUCCUCCAGUCAGUAACUCUUCUUGCCUGUUCACUCGAUGCCAGCCCCUAUAUGCCAGCUGUUGUAUCAAUACUGUGUUAUUGUACUUUUCAAGGUACUGUACUGUACUGUAAGAUUAAAAAUGUUUUCUUUA
This is a long non-coding RNA of Balaenoptera acutorostrata (minke whale), 1014 nucleotides long. RefSeq lists it as uncharacterized. NCBI's taxonomy places the organism in Eukaryota, Metazoa, Chordata, Mammalia, Artiodactyla, Balaenopteridae. The transcript is spliced from 5 exons. The record is from RefSeq and is a predicted model, not a curated record.